GACAUCAACCGAGAUUCCGCUAGUAGUGGCGAGCGAACGCGGAGGAGGCCAAACCAGAGGUCAUAGAUCUCUGGGGUAAGGACAGUCAAUUAGAAAGGGAAGCUAGCCGAACGGCAUGGGAAGGCCGUCCACAGAGGGUGAGAGACCCGUAGGCGAAAGCGGAACGGACGAGACUGUAUCCAGAGUACCGCCGGACACGUGAAACCCGGUGGGAACAAGGGAGGACCACCUUCCAAGCCUAAAUACUACCUGAUGACCGAUAGUGGAGCAGUACCGUGAGGGAAAGGUGAAAAGUACCCCGAGAGGGGAGUGAAAGAGAACCUGAAACCUUGUGCUUACAAGCACUCAGAGCGCGUUAAAGCGUGAUGAGGUACCUUUUGUAGAAUGGUCCGGCGAGUUAUAGUAACGAGCAAGGUUAAGCUAUUCAGUAGCGGAGCCGAAGGGAAACCGAGUCUUAAUAGGGCGUUAAGUUCGUUGCCAUAGACCUGAAACCGGGUGACCUAUCCAUGUCCAGGCUGAAGAUCAGGUAAAACUGAUUGGAGGGCCGAACACACGUUCGUUGCAAUGACCGGUGAUGAGGUGUGGAUAGCGGAGAAAUUCCAAUCGAACCCGGAGAUAGCUGGUUCUCCCCGAAAUAGCUUUAGGGCUAGCGUCGCAGCGAGAGAGCCGUGAAGGUAGAGCACUGAAUAUGCGAUGGCCGCAUCCCGCGGUACUGAGCAUAAUCAAACUCCGAAUGUCACGGUGUCAUCUGCGGCAGUCAGACGGCGAGUGAUAAGGUCCGUCGUCAAGAGGGAAACAGCCCAGACCAUCAGCUAAGGUCCCAAAGUGCAUGCUAAGUGGAAAAGGAAGUGGAGACGUGCAGACAACUAGGAGGUUGGCUCAGAAGCAGCCAUCCUUCAAAGAGUGCGUAACAGCUCACUAGUCGAAUGACUCUGCGCCGAUAAUUUACCGGGGCUAAGCAUGACACCGAAGCUAUGGACAGGAAUGUGGUAGGGGAGCAUUGCAUGCAGCGGAGAAGCAUGACCGAGAGGGCAUGUGGAGCGCAUGGAAGAGAGAAUGCCGGCGUGAGUAGCGGCACGUGGGUGAGAAUCCCACGCACCGAUGGCCCAAGGUCUCCAGAGGAAGGCUCGUCCUCUCUGGGAUAGUCGGGACCUAAGGCGAGGCCGAAAGGCGUAGCCGAUGGACGACGGGUGGAUAUUCCCGUACCCGAUGUGUGGCGAUGGAGUGACGGAGAAGGCUCAGGCAACCAGCUGCUGGAAUAGCUGGGGCAAGCGAGAUACCUGCGCACCAGGGAAAUCCGGUGCGCAUAAGGGGAAGGCGCGAUGCAUACGGAAAGCUUCGGCAAGUACGGAAAAGCUGAGAGCAGGCUUCCAGGAAAAGCUUCUAGCACAACACACAUCGGCCCGUACCGAAAAUGGACACACAUGGGCAAGGAGAGAAUCCUGAGGUGAGCGAGAGAACUAUAGCUAAGGAACUCUGCAAAAUGACCCCGUAACCUAGGGAGAAGGGGUGCUCCAGAAAUGGAGCCGCAGUAAAACGGCCCAAGCGACUGUUUACCAAAAACACAGCUCUCUGCGAAGGCGCAAGCCGAAGUAUAGGGGGUGACGCCUGCCCGGUGCUGGAAGGUCAAGGGGAGCUGUCAGCGCAAGCGAAGCAGCGAGCCGAAGCCCCAGUAAACGGCGGCCGUAACUAUAACGGUCCUAAGGUAGCGAAAUUCCUUGUCGGGCAAGUUCCGACCCGCACGAAAGGCGUAACGAUUUGGGCGCUGUCUCAGCUGUAGACUCGGUGAAGUCUUAGUACCUGUGAAGAUGCAGGUUGCCCGCGACUAGACGGAAAGACCCCAUGGAGCUUCACUGCAGGUUGACAUUGGGCUUGGAUGCAUGAUGUACAGGAUAGGUGGGAGGCUGUGAGCCGUGCGCGCCAGCGUACGGGGAGCCGCUGUUGGGAUACCACCCUUCAUGCAUCUAGGUCCUAACCGGAGGCAACGGGCCACGGGACAGUGUCAGUCGGGCAGUUUGACUGGGGCGGUCGCCUCCCAAAGAGUAACGGAGGCGCCCAAAGAUACCCUCAGCAUGGAUGGAAACCAUGCAUAGAGUGCAAAGGCAUAAGGGUGUCUGACUGCGAGACAUACAGGUCGAGCAGGGACGAAAGUCGGGCUUAGUGAUCCGGCGGAUCCGAAUGGAAGGGCCGUCGCUCAACGGAUAAAAGCUACCCUGGGGAUAACAGGCUGAUCUCCCCCAA
RNAcentral lists this ribosomal RNA (2241 nucleotides) under human gut metagenome. RNAcentral's name for it is "bacterial LSU rRNA". It matches the Rfam family "Bacterial large subunit ribosomal RNA", at positions 221 to 2495 of the family's 2925-position model. The record is from RNAcentral.